AGCCCAACGAGAUCGGGAUAACACCUGGAAACAGAUGCUAAUACCGGAUAACAACAGAUGAUGCCUAUCAACUGUUUAAAAGAUGGUUCUGCUAUCACUCUUGGAUGGACCUGCGGUGCAUUAGCUAGUUGGUAGGGUAACGGCCUACCAAGGCGAUGAUGCAUAGCCGAGUUGAGAGACUGAUCGGCCACAUUGGGACUGAGACACGGCCCAAACUCCUACGGGAGGCAGCAGCG
This 236-nucleotide ribosomal RNA is filed under the name uncultured Lactobacillus sp. RNAcentral describes it as "partial 16S ribosomal RNA". It matches the Rfam family "Bacterial small subunit ribosomal RNA", at positions 127 to 356 of the family's 1533-position model. Lineage: Bacteria; Bacillati; Bacillota; Bacilli; Lactobacillales; Lactobacillaceae. The record is from RNAcentral.